GUAGCACAGAGGAGCUUGCUCCUUGGGUGACGAGUGGCGGACGGGUGAGUAAUGUCUGGGGAUCUGCCCGAUGGAGGGGGAUAACUACUGGAAACGGUAGCUAAUACCGCAUAACGUCGCAAGACCAAAGUGGGGGACCUUCGGGCCUCACACCAUCGGAUGAACCCAGAUGGGAUUAGCUAGUAGGUGGGGUAACGGCUCACCUAGGCGACGAUCCCUAGCUGGUCUGAGAGGAUGACCAGCCACACUGGAACUGAGACACGGUCCAGACUCCUACGGGAGGCAGCAGUGGGGAAUAUUGCACAAUGGGCGCAAGCCUGAUGCAGCCAUGCCGCGUGUAUGAAGAAGGCCUUCGGGUUGUAAAGUACUUUCAGCGGGGAGGAAGGAUGAUGUUUAAUACGCAUCGUCAUUGACCCCGCAGAAGAAGCACCGGCUA
Molecule: ribosomal RNA, 436 nt
Filed under: Pantoea cypripedii
Lineage: Bacteria; Pseudomonadati; Pseudomonadota; Gammaproteobacteria; Enterobacterales; Erwiniaceae
Description: bacterial SSU rRNA
Rfam family: Bacterial small subunit ribosomal RNA
Source: RNAcentral